UCCACAUUGGUGUAAUGGUAACAUAGCCGGUUUUCAUUGAAAACCACAUCAUACCCGGCGUAAGUCAUUCAAAUGAUGUUCAACUAUGUAUCUUCUAACCCCAAGCAGAGCCCGGGGUUCAAUUCCCCGAUGUGGAA
Transfer RNA from Cladophialophora immunda, 137 nucleotides. It matches the Rfam family "tRNA". From Rfam's summary of the family: Transfer RNA (tRNA) molecules are approximately 80 nucleotides in length. Their secondary structure includes four short double-helical elements and three loops (D, anti-codon, and T loops). NCBI's taxonomy places the organism in Eukaryota, Fungi, Ascomycota, Eurotiomycetes, Chaetothyriales, Herpotrichiellaceae. The record is from Rfam.